UCCAUUACUGUUCCGGAAAAGGGACUUCUCCCAAGUGAGGGGGAUCUGACUUGAAGCAAGAAAAGAGAAGCAAAACCUCUGUGUCAACACCCCAGAGACCAUCUAGAGACUCAGCUUUACUUAUGAAGACAGGAAAGAAAUGCAAAUAAUUGAGAGUCCAUGGAGCCAACAUGUGUGUGUUCCUGCAGCAACACUCAGUCCUCAUCCUGCCCAGCACUUUGGUAUUCAAAUUUGUCACCUCAGAAAGCUGUGGUUCUGCUGAGACCCUCUGGUCCCCCGACAGCAGCAGGAUAUUGAAGGAUUUGAGCUGUGAUCUCCAAGCAGCCACAACCCCCUGCUCUAACCCCUUUCAUUUCCACCCCAGAUACGGCUCCUUCAGCCCUACAUUUCCUCCAGGGAUGUGCAAAGAACAGACAGAGGUUGGAAUUGCUGCUGUGUGAGAAAGAGGCCCAGGUUCUGUGCAAGGUGGUGCUGGAGCUAUCCUUUGGUGAGU
Molecule: long non-coding RNA, 493 nt
Organism: Lepidothrix coronata (blue-crowned manakin)
Lineage: Eukaryota; Metazoa; Chordata; Aves; Passeriformes; Pipridae
Exons: 4
Source: RefSeq, a predicted model, not a curated record